CAUGACUGUCACCUCGCCAGGACCGGACCCACAGCUGACCCCAGUAUGGAGGAUGAGAAAGGACAAGUACUCUAAAACACCAACCUGAGUGCAGGGCUGGGGGUCUCCUUUCAACUUUACUCGGAAAAUCUUCCAGAUGAAGAAACCAAGCGUAAGUCACCUUUUCAGGGAACUGGACCUGCAC
This is a long non-coding RNA of Mustela erminea (ermine), 184 nucleotides long. RefSeq lists it as uncharacterized. The record is from RefSeq and is a predicted model, not a curated record. Lineage: Eukaryota; Metazoa; Chordata; Mammalia; Carnivora; Mustelidae. The transcript has 3 exons.